UACGAAGGGGGCUAGCGUUGCUCGGAAUCACUGGGCGUAAAGCGCACGUAGGCGGCUUUCUAAGUCAGGGGUGAAAUCCUGGAGCUCAACUCCAGAACUGCCUUUGAUACUGGAGAGCUUGAGUCCGGAAGAGGUGAGUGGAACUCCGAGUGUAGAGGUGAAAUUCGUAGAUAUUAGGAAGAACACCGGUGGCGAAGGCGGCCCACUGGAUCGGUACUGACGCUGAGGUGCGAAAGCGUGGGGAGCAAACAGG
RNAcentral lists this ribosomal RNA (253 nucleotides) under uncultured bacterium. RNAcentral describes it as "partial 16S ribosomal RNA". It matches the Rfam family "Bacterial small subunit ribosomal RNA", at positions 524 to 776 of the family's 1533-position model. The record is from RNAcentral.